RNAcentral lists this unclassified non-coding RNA (240 nucleotides) under soil metagenome. Its description in RNAcentral is "partial contains 5.8S ribosomal RNA, internal transcribed spacer 2, and large subunit ribosomal RNA". The record is from RNAcentral.
AAGACUAUAGACCUGCGGAGUACCUGCGGAAGGAUCAUUACUGUUGAAACGUCUCGGCCAGUCGUGUCCCGCAUUGGGGCCUUCUGCGCCAGCGUUUAGCACCCUUGAUUUUGAGCACCUUUUGUUUCCUCGGCGGGUUCGCCCGCCAGCGAGGACCCCCAUGAACUCUUUGUAAUAGCAAUCUUUGUCUGAAAUACAAACAAUAAUCAAAACUUUCAGCAAUGGAUCUCUAGAUCGGAA